This 774-nucleotide ribosomal RNA is filed under the name uncultured Neocallimastigales. Its description in RNAcentral is "partial large subunit ribosomal RNA". It matches the Rfam family "Eukaryotic large subunit ribosomal RNA", at positions 24 to 645 of the family's 3401-position model. Lineage: Eukaryota; Fungi; Neocallimastigomycota; Neocallimastigomycetes; Neocallimastigales. The record is from RNAcentral.
UAUCUCUGUAGAGUCUGCAUAUCAAUAAGCGGAGGAAAAGAAACUAACUAGGAUUCCCUCAGUAACGGCGAGUGAAGCGGGAAGAGCUCAAAUUUGAAAUCUUCGAGGUUCUACCUUGACGAAUUGUAGUUUAAAGAAGUGUUUUCUGUUGGAGUUUUGGUAAAAGUUCUUUGGAAUAGGACAUCAUAGAGGGUGAGAAUCCCGUAUUUGACCAUUAUUUCCAGCUUUGUGAUACACUUUCAAAGAGUCGGAUUGUUUGGGAAUGCAGUCCAAAAUGGGUGGUAAAUUUCAUCUAAAGCUAAAUAUUGGCGAGAGACCGAUAGCGAACAAGUACCGUGAGGGAAAGAUGAAAAGAACUUUGAAAAGAGAGUUAAACAGUACGUGAAAUUGUCAAAAGGGAAGCGUUUGACACCAGUGUUGUUUUCUCGAAAAUCAAUUAAAAAAAGUUGGAUUUUGUAUUGUUAAGACCUUAUCAGCUUACUGUACUCUUUUCUUGCUUUUUUUAAUGCACUUUUCGUUUAACAAGUCAACAUCAAUUUCUUUUGUUGUAAAAGAGUCAUUGGAAGGUGGCUUUCACUUCGGUGAAAGUGUUUAUAGCCUUUGGCUUCUGCAACCGGAGAGAUUGAGGUCUGCGGCGUAGAUCCUUCGGGGCUAGAUACGUAGAUGCUAAGUUAUAGUUUUUUAUAGACAACUUGUUGACUAUAAUUAAUCAUGUAGCUUACUCGUUUGCGCUAUUUUACCUACGCUUAGGAUGUUGAAGUCAUCGUAUCGCGC